RNA transcript from Xiphias gladius (swordfish), 3668 nucleotides. It is a transcript of the gene named platelet-derived growth factor alpha polypeptide b, with no coding region annotated. The record is from RefSeq and is a predicted model, not a curated record. NCBI's taxonomy places the organism in Eukaryota, Metazoa, Chordata, Actinopteri, Istiophoriformes, Xiphiidae. The transcript has 7 exons.
AGUCAAGGAGCUGUGCAGACUUCUGCAAGGCAGGCUCUGGAUAGCACAACACGGACAACUUGCUCCCUUGUGAUUUUCUGAGAGGACCUGUUCGUUUGGAUUAUAUUCUUUUAGGACUAUUAAAUACUAUCAUAGAAACAUAGUCGUGCGUCUUCAUACUGUCUAAUUCUAACUUUGUCCAAAAGAAGGGGGGCUGAGUUUCUUCUUUGAUACUGAAGUAAACUGGGCAGAAGUUUGAAGCCUGUUUGCUAGAGGGUGAAGGACAAGUGCAAUGCGUGUCAGCUCUUGGGAUUGCCCCACUUGUGCCUGAGGAGCUAUGCCGAGCUGCCGCACAGAGCUGGUUCAAGAGGACGCAGGCCAAAGUGAAUAACGAGUCAACUUCCAGCCUCUUCAGCUUUUCCCACUCACAAGCAAGUGCAGCGCGGAGUCUGACUGAGCCCGUUGAGCAGCUCUGACACCCCGGUUUCUCUCCCCCCACGGGGGGGAUGGUUGUGGAUCCUCUGGGGCCAGGAGCAACUCUGCGGCUCCUACAGAAUAGCACAUUCCUCUCGUUUGGCGUUAAUUCUAAAUUAAAGGGAGAUGAGAGCCGCACUUUGUUACGUCCUGCUGUGGACGGCGUACCUGCUGCUGGCCACCGCUGAGGAAGUGGAGUUUCCCCAGGAGCUGAUAGACAGACUGUCCCACAGUGAAAUCCACAGCAUCAGCGACCUCCAGCGGCUACUGGAGAUUGACUCCGUAGGUACGGGAAACGAUGUUAUCGAGGAGCCCAAGCACCACAAGCACCACAACCACCAUAAGAACUACUCCCGUCAUCACGGUCACUACAAUGACCUGAAGAGCUCCCAGCUCCACAGCAGACGCAAGAGGAGUGUCGUAGAGGAGGCGGUCCCGGCGGUGUGUAAGACACGGACGGUGAUCUACGAGAUCCCCAGGAGCCAGGUGGAUCCCACAUCUGCCAACUUCCUGAUAUGGCCGCCCUGUGUGGAGGUGAAGCGCUGCACGGGCUGUUGCAACACCAGCAACAUGCGCUGUCACCCUUCCCGCAAGCACCACCGCACCGUUAAGGUGGCCAAGGUGGAGUAUGUGAGGAGGAGACCCAAGCUGAAAGAAGUCUUUGUGCGGUUAGAAGACCACCUGGAGUGUGUGUGCACGUCACAACAUCAUGUGGUUGAGCACUCAGAAGCAGAAACAGGCCACCGUAGGGCUAAAGGUAAAAAAAGGAAACCUAAAAAGCUAAGGCCCAGCAAGGAUUUAUUGGCGACAUAAUAAAGUUGCACUCAUUACCCAAAGUCCACUGGAGAGCUGUGAAGUGAAACAGUGGAUGUGAGGUGAGACCAAUCAGAACAAGGGACUUCAGCGUGGGAGGGACCUAAGCAGAGGUUGUCACCAACUGGAGACCUGCUCUGUCCUCUUUCCCACAGCCAUGCAUCCUUCGUUUGAAAAAACAAACAUUUCUGUAAAAACAAGAAACUGAAGAUUAGACAACGGACAAAAAUAAAUAAGACGCCAAAGGUGCUUUUUUUUUAACAAAAAAAACAAAAAAAACAAUAACCAGUGAUGAUGACUUCCUCUGUGGUACGCCACUUACCCAGACAACUGAAUCCUGCCGCUGAUUAAGAAGAAAAGAGAAAUAUGCUGUGGAGCUUGGGCAGGGCAGAAAGAGGCCGAAGGGAGAUGAUGAAAGGGAUUUGUGUUGAACAUUUUGACAGACUUUGUUUGAACAAGACGCACAACCGAAAAGGCUAUGAAACAGUUGGAUCAAGCUUUCGUGGGAAUCUGGUGCUCAGACUCCAAAACAGCAGUGGAUGACCUCCAGCUGGGCAACAUAAAAGUGCCCUGCCCUGAUUAAAUGACUCUUGCAUACACAGGAAGAAUGAAAGAGAGAUAUAGGAAAACAAUGGAAAUUGCUGGAGUUAUGGAGGUGUUUUUUUUCCAAAAGACUCUCUAUGGAGCAUCAAACAUUUUGAGUUUUUGGAUGUUUGCUCUGAGUAAAGAGGAAAUCUUUUCUGAGACCCCUGGUGGUCUUUGACUUUGCCCACCUGCUAUGUACAGUUAAAUCUGAAAAGGAUGCACCGCUACUUACAAACUAUUUAUACAUGUGGACGUUUGCUUUCUGUCUCUUCCAUUACAAAAGAAAGAACAAAAAAUAUGUUUUUAUGAUUUUGGAAACAUGCAAGAUUCCCGUGUGGUCUGGUUCUUUGUAACCAUCAGUAUCACAAUCCCAAUGUCAUUUUUUUAGUUGUUAUUCCUGUCAUCCAUGUUUCUUAUUAUAUUACAGUAUAUCCGAAUGACGUCAAGUCUUGUAUAUGGUUUGGAUAUAUGUAUGCAAGGAGGAGAUGUGAGAGGAAGAUGCUUUAUUUUUGUUAUGAAAUAUAUUAUGCUUACUUAUAUUCAAGCAGGAAUUAUGUUUAAUUCUUUUGUUGUGGUUGAACGCCUGUAUUUAAUCCAUUGGAAAAGAUGCAAAAACAUGGGCAGGGGGUGGAAUAGACAAGGGAAAAAAGGCUGCCAGUGCUUGUUAGUGUGUGUGCAUGAGUGCAUCAGAGCUGUGAAAAUGUUGGACACACUGGCUCAAACAUGGCAACUACAUAUUGAGUGGCCAUACUGUAGCUUAGUCUACAGACAUGAUAAGCACUGCCGAAUCCUUUAUGUAACAAGUGACGUUUCACACAAACAUGCGUAUAGCACGUAGAGUGUGUGCAUGCCAAUCACACAGGCGCACAAAAACACAAAAAUGUUUGAGCAACUCUAGUGUGCAAGCAUGCACGUACAGGUGCAUGUGUGCUCACACACAGUUUCUCUGCUACAUGAUGCUAUUUUUCAUCCAUGUCACUGUAGCGUUGAUAAGGAAGAUGCCCGCCCGGUCUGCUUCACAAACACACAUGUUGCGCCUACAAAGAGCAAAGUCCAACCUCAAAGAGUGAAUGAGUGAGCAAAGCAAAUCGACAGAUGCAUGAAUCGGCUCCUUGUUUAGCCAGUCUUUACUCCUCUGUCGGCAGGAGAAUAAAUCUCCUGAUCGCUCCACCCUUUGGAGGGGCUCACACCUUAUGCAGCCACAUACCAUCAGGACAAAUGAUGAUGGGCGCUCUGAGGUGGCCUGAAAACAGUACAGUGCUGGCCUAAUCCCGUGCCCCCGAUGGAAUAAGUAAUUACUUCCUCACCAGGUCCUGUAACAGUGAUGAAUGUGUAACCAGGCCAACAGGGCAAACAUGGCCAACACAACACUCCUCUUCCACCAAACGAGGAAGUUUGACGGAGAUUUUGUGAACAGCCAAAGGCGAAAGAGUGAGUCACUGUGAGGUGAGUCCAGUGAAAGUCAAAAGAGCAAAGUUUGACUGAAACAUGGCUGUAUCAGAUACUGCUGAGCUGUGAACCUCAGAUCUUACACACACACACACACACACACACACACACACACACACACACACACACACACACACACACACACACACACACACACACACACACAGCCCACCUGUGAAUUAACUAACCAUCAGUUGACUGGUGCUAUAUUUAUAAGGCUGAUGUUUCAUCACUCUUCACAUUUAAAUCAAUGUAAGACAGUGUUCUGAGUAAACCAGGGACCAUACUUAGAGCUAUUUGAUUAAAGAAAAUGCCAUUACACUAUCACUAAGCCUUUACUACUUUCCUUUUGGGCUUCCAUUGGAUAA